Long non-coding RNA from Panthera uncia (snow leopard), 428 nucleotides. RefSeq lists it as uncharacterized. The record is from RefSeq and is a predicted model, not a curated record. The transcript is spliced from 3 exons. NCBI's taxonomy places the organism in Eukaryota, Metazoa, Chordata, Mammalia, Carnivora, Felidae.
CUAGGCUCCCACACCGCAUGUAUUCUUGGGUUAAUCUGCUUAUUCCUGGCUCCAGGUGUUGAUAACCUACACAACUGGGUACUCUCCUCCUGAAGUAUCAGCCUCGAGCCAUUUGUGGUCCCGUCUCACCAAGACACUAGCAUCUGAGCCCCAGCCAUCGGCAAGUUAGAUGUGGCCAUGUGAGUAUGUGGCCAGUGGAAUGUGACCACAAGCGACUCUACUAAAGCAACGAAAAGCCGGUGCAUGACACUCCAGGCUUUCUUCUGCUUUGCUGGCCAAGACAGCCCUGGGAUCCACAAAGUGCAGUCACAACACGGCAGUGCCUCCAUCACCCAGGUGACCACAUGGAGCGGAGGUGUCCAAAAUUCCACUAUAAAGAAGAAACUUGGAAGGAGGAAUUGGAAACCAACCCCCCCCCCCCCUUCCCC